UACGUAGGGUGCGAGCGUUGUCCGGAAUUAUUGGGCGUAAAGAGCUCGUAGGCGGUGUGUCACGUCGUUCGUGAAAACCUGCAGCUUAACUGUGGGCGUGCAGUCGAUACGGGCAGGCUAGAGUUCGGCAGGGGAGACUGGAAUUCCUGGUGUAGCGGUGAAAUGCGCAGAUAUCAGGAGGAACACCGGUGGCGAAGGCGGGUCUCUGGGCCGAUACUGACACUGAGGAGCAAAAGCGUGGGGAGCGAACAGG
This 253-nucleotide ribosomal RNA is filed under the name uncultured bacterium. RNAcentral's name for it is "partial 16S ribosomal RNA". It matches the Rfam family "Bacterial small subunit ribosomal RNA", at positions 524 to 776 of the family's 1533-position model. The record is from RNAcentral.